Molecule: long non-coding RNA, 501 nt
Organism: Spinacia oleracea (spinach)
Lineage: Eukaryota; Viridiplantae; Streptophyta; Magnoliopsida; Caryophyllales; Amaranthaceae
Exons: 2
Source: RefSeq, a predicted model, not a curated record
UCAUCUGCAAAUUAAGGGGUGUUUCUCUUCGAUUUUUGUAGAUAAUAUUUCUCAAUUUUGGGUGAUUUUUUGGGUCGAUAUUUUGGGUUGAUUUUUUGGGUUUGGAAGAAAAUAAGAGGAAGAGUUCAUUGUGAGCAGCCAUGGUAGUCUCCCCCAAUCACAUUGCAGGCUCCACCACCGUCGUCGCCCGUGUAGGUUGGAGAUGGGAACAGGAGAGAGAAAUUGGGCGAGAGUGAGAAAGAAAAAGGGGCGGGUUUUGCGAAUUGGAGGAGAGACGGUUAAUUAGGGAUAGGAUGGUGAUGGUCAUUGCUUCCAUGGUGGUUUGAGAUGAGAAAGAAGAUGAUGAUGAUGAAGAUGUCGUAUCAAAAUUACAAAGGUGAAGAUGAAGACAAAUGAAGAAGCAAGCAAGCAGAAUAGCAGAUUCACAUUUUGGGGUCAAUUUUUUUUGUUUUUUUAAUAGCUAAUUAGAUUAUUUUAGGGGCUUAAUUUUUUUAGAUAAUA